RNAcentral lists this ribosomal RNA (603 nucleotides) under uncultured fungus. RNAcentral's name for it is "eukaryotic LSU rRNA". The stretch from base 241 to 394 matches the Rfam family "5.8S ribosomal RNA". The record is from RNAcentral. Lineage: Eukaryota; Fungi.
UCUUGGUCAUUUAGAGGAGUAAAGUCGUAACAAGGUUUCCGUAGGUGAACCUGCGGAAGGAUCAUUACAAGUGAGGCUACCGAACGUUGGAACAGCGGUUAGGAGCUUACACCCACCCGUGUUUACAUACUAUUGUUGCUUUGGCGGGCCGUGGCCUCCACUGCGGGCUCUGCUCGUGUGUGCCCGCCAGAGAACCAAACUCUGAAUGUUAGUGAUGUCUGAGUACUAUCUAAUAGUUAAAACUUUCAACAACGGAUCUCUUGGUUCUGGCAUCGAUGAAGAACGCAGCGAAAUGCGAUAAGUAAUGUGAAUUGCAGAAUUCAGUGAAUCAUCGAAUCUUUGAACGCACAUUGCGCCCUGUGGUAUUCCGCAGGGCAUGCCUGUUCGAGCGUCAUUUAACCACUCACGCCUAGCGUGGUGGUGGGGCGCGCGGUCUCCGCGGCCCUCAAAAUUAGUGGCGGCGCCGGUGGGCUCUAAGCGUAGUACAUACUCCCGCUAUAGAGUCCCCCCGGUGGCUCGCCAGAACCCCCAAUUUUUACAGGUUGACCUCGGAUCAGGUAGGGAUACCCCGCUGAACUUAAGCAUAUCAAUAAGCGGGAGGAA